Venturia canescens is the source of this 1162-nucleotide long non-coding RNA. RefSeq lists it as uncharacterized. Lineage: Eukaryota; Metazoa; Arthropoda; Insecta; Hymenoptera; Ichneumonidae. The transcript has 2 exons. The record is from RefSeq and is a predicted model, not a curated record.
UAGGACUUAAUUUUGUCGGAGAAUCAGUCAGACUACGGACGAACUGCAAGUAUCAGUGCUCAUUUCACCCCGAGAGAACUGAAUUGAAUCGUAUCGUCUUCAAAAUCAAUAUAAAAUCUCCACUGGCACCCGGUCGCUUCCAAAUCUCAGUGAAACAGUUUCCAUUGAGUGAAUAUUGACUUUUGGGAGAAAAAUUGCACCGUACCACCAUCGUUGGAAUAAAGGCUGUGACAGAAGCUGAUAGCUGAGAUGGAUUCGACGAAUCUUUACAAAAUUGCAUACUACAGCACGGUUUUGCUAGAUUUUAACAAUGGAACGAGUCAACCCAUAAAACUCGCAGCAAAACUUGAUGAUGAGGUGUUUUGUGUUUGGAUCAAGCCCCAAAAGACGAUCGAACGAUCGCUACCAACAAGGGAAGGAAUAGGAUUUUUGGGGUCCGAUAUUUUCCUUCAUAACGUAAAACAGCCGACCGUAUCAAUGGAAACAGCUGUCAUGAUGUUUCUUACAUUUCUCAAGAAAUCACCCAAGUCAGUUUUACUUGUUACGUAUUUUAGACAUUCCACAUCCGAUCCCCUGUCAGAACACUUACAAAAAACUGGCACCCUGCAGUUGUUUAAUGGUGUGAUUGCGGGUUUUGUAAAUAUACUACCGAUUUUAAGAAUCAGGUACUCAGUUGUAUCGGCAAUGGAACUACCCACUUUACCCAACCUCACAUUUCAUUUACUGAGGAAAGAAUAUACACAACCGCUUUAUGAAACACCAUAUGAUGUGGAGAUUCUAGAAGAGCUCGUUACCAAGAAAUUGUCAAAACUUGACUUGAUUCGAAACCGUAGAUCCUUAAACGCAGCUAUUCUGAGUGAAGACGAACGACAUUUAGGGCGAACUGCAAGAGCAGAACUUCCAUAUUCGAUCGCGAGUGGCUCAACCAAUGAAACCGGUUCAUUUGAAAGAGAGCGAUCUCCUGUUCGCCAGUUGCCAAAUUACCAAAUUCCAGCCAACAACGUUCCAGAACACCUUAUUCAACGUGACCAACAAUUUAUGGAAGAGUGGUAUGGACUUUUUGAACCCUAACCACAAAGAGACUAAUCCUUUUUUUCUGGAAUAUAUGACAGUAAUGAAUUUUUCUUUGUAACCAGAAAAAAAAUAAAGAAUAUGAAUUUCA